This 155-nucleotide small nuclear RNA is filed under the name Jaculus jaculus (lesser Egyptian jerboa). RNAcentral's name for it is "U1 spliceosomal RNA (ENSJJAG00000002835.1)". It matches the Rfam family "U1 spliceosomal RNA". From Rfam's summary of the family: U1 is a small nuclear RNA (snRNA) component of the spliceosome (involved in pre-mRNA splicing). Lineage: Eukaryota; Metazoa; Chordata; Mammalia; Rodentia; Dipodidae. The record is from RNAcentral.
UUAUAUACCUGGCAGGGGAGCUACCACGAUCAUAAAGGUGGUUGUUCAUUGUGCUUCAGAUAUACUGACUGCUGUGAUUUCCCCACAUGUGGGAAACCCAACUGCAUAAUUUGUGGUAAUGGGGGGGACUGUGUUUGUAAAAAAAAUCACCCCCA